RNAcentral lists this long non-coding RNA (443 nucleotides) under Setaria viridis. RNAcentral describes it as "long non-coding RNA (SVIR_LNC007224)". Lineage: Eukaryota; Viridiplantae; Streptophyta; Magnoliopsida; Poales; Poaceae. The record is from RNAcentral.
UUACAGAUGGAUUGUUUAAUUUGUAUGUUUGAUGGUGGGAUUGUGUAAGUUGGUAUGCAAUUGUGUAGUGUACAUGACAUGGUGUACAUGAAUUUUUUUUUGCAAUAUGUUCAAUUAAUUUAUCUCAUAUUUUUCUUUCUUAAUUUAGUUGCUAUAGUUGAUAUGGUUAAGUGUUUGUAUUUUGUAGAUGGAGUAUUUGUAUUUUGUCGAAUUGAUCUAUAUAGUUCGUUUGGUGAAGUAGAUGGAUUACGUGUUUAAUGUUUAUUUGUGUAUUAAUUUACGGGCACUUGAUGUGUAGGUGAGAUGACGUCGUCCGGUUGUGAAUACAAGCAGCGUAGGUGGUAUGUGCGUUUCGUGGGUGAGUCCAAUGCUGGUGCUCCCGUACCUCCUGCCCUUCCGGUACCUCUUUGUAGAUGUAGCGUGCAAGCUGAGGUGAAACAAUC